This 61-nucleotide small nucleolar RNA is filed under the name Pteropus alecto (black flying fox). RNAcentral's name for it is "Small nucleolar RNA SNORD66". It matches the Rfam family "Small nucleolar RNA SNORD66". From Rfam's summary of the family: snoRNA HBII-142 is part of the C/D family of snoRNAs. It is the human orthologue of the mouse MBII-142 snoRNA and is predicted to guide 2'O-ribose methylation of small 18S rRNA at residue C1272. Lineage: Eukaryota; Metazoa; Chordata; Mammalia; Chiroptera; Pteropodidae. The record is from Rfam by way of RNAcentral. RNAcentral also lists the same sequence under 1 other name.
CCAUUGUGAUGAUUAAUUUUAUGUGUCAACAUGGCUGGGCCACAGAGCCCACAUAAUGUGG